UACGUAGGGUGCAAGCGUUGUCCGGAAUUAUUGGGCGUAAAGAGCUCGUAGGCGGUUCGUCGCGUCGGCUGUGAAAACCCGGAGCUCAACUCCGGGCCUGCAGUCGAUACGGGCGGACUUGAGUGUUGCAGGGGAGACUGGAAUUCCUGGUGUAGCGGUGAAAUGCGCAGAUAUCAGGAGGAACACCGGUGGCGAAGGCGGGUCUCUGGGCCGUAACUGACGCUGAGGAGCGAAAGCGUGGGGAGCGAACAGG
RNAcentral lists this ribosomal RNA (253 nucleotides) under uncultured bacterium. RNAcentral describes it as "partial 16S ribosomal RNA". It matches the Rfam family "Bacterial small subunit ribosomal RNA", at positions 524 to 776 of the family's 1533-position model. The record is from RNAcentral.